AAUUGAGAGUUUGAUCCUGGCUCAGGACGAACGCUGGCGGCGUGCUUAACACAUGCAAGUCGAACGGAAAGGCCCUGCUUUUGUGGGGUGCUCGAGUGGCGAACGGGUGAGUAACACGUGAGUAACCUGCCCUUGACUUUGGGAUAACUUCAGGAAACUGGGGCUAAUACCGGAUAGGAGCUCCUGCUGCAUGGUGGGGGUUGGAAAGUUUCGGCGGUUGGGGAUGGACUCGCGGCUUAUCAGCUUGUUGGUGGGGUAGUGGCUUACCAAGGCUUUGACGGGUAGCCGGCCUGAGAGGGUGACCGGCCACAUUGGGACUGAGAUACGGCCCAGACUCCUACGGGAGGCAGCAGUGGGGAAUAUUGCACAAUGGGCGGAAGCCUGAUGCAGCAACGCCGCGUGCGGGAUGACGGCCUUCGGGUUGUAAACUCCUUUCGUUAGGGACGAAGCCGCACUUUUUUUGGGUGUGGUGACGGUACCUUUGUUAAGAAGCACCGGCUAACUACGUGCCAGCAGCCGCGGUAAUACGUAGGGCGCGAGCGUUGUCCGGAAUUAUUGGGCGUAAAGAGCUCGUAGGCGGCUGGUCGCGUCUGUCGUGAAAUCCUCUGGCUUAACUGGGGGCUUGCGGUGGGUACGGGCCGGCUUGAGUGCGGUAGGGGAGACUGGAACUCCUGGUGUAGCGGUGGAAUGCGCAGAUAUCAGGAGGAACACC
Molecule: ribosomal RNA, 712 nt
Filed under: Prorocentrum minimum
Lineage: Eukaryota; Dinophyceae; Prorocentrales; Prorocentraceae
Description: partial Bacterial small subunit ribosomal RNA
Rfam family: Bacterial small subunit ribosomal RNA
Source: RNAcentral